This 374-nucleotide ribosomal RNA is filed under the name uncultured organism. RNAcentral describes it as "partial 16S ribosomal RNA". It matches the Rfam family "Bacterial small subunit ribosomal RNA", at positions 527 to 896 of the family's 1533-position model. The record is from RNAcentral.
AGAGACCUCAAACGUUAUCCGGAAUUAUUGGGCGUAAAGGGUCCGCAGGCGGUUUGGUUAGUCAGUGGGUUAAAUCUUGGGAGCUCAACUCCGAGUCUGUCACCGAAACUACCAAACUAGAAGACAUCAGAGGCUAGUGGAAUUCUGUAUGGAGGGGUUAAAUCCGUAGAUAUACAGAGGAACACCAAAAGCGAAGGCAGCUAGCUGGGAUGUUCUUGACGCUCAGGGACGAAAGCGUGGGUAGCGAACGGGAUUAGAUACCCCGGUAGUCCACGCCCUAAACGAUGAAUACUUGGUGUUGCAAUCUUAGAAAAUUUGCAGUGCCGAAGCUAACGCGAUAAGUAUUCCGCCUGGGGAUUACGGCCGCAAGGCUA